GGAUGACUUCAGAGCUAACUCUAGAUGACCAGUCCUCACCCAAGACCCCCAUAGCAUCCAGAAGCUGGAUGAAGUAAUGGAAUGGGUGAUUCUGGAGAGAGCUCAGUCCAUCCCAGUAUCUUCAGCAGAACUGUCGUCUGCUUUGUUGACUGGAUCAGCCUAGUCAAGACUGAUGCCACCAUGGAGAGUGCCAGGGCCUUCAGAGGGUGUGACUUCUCAACUGACAUCCGAGCACAAGGAGCAGCACGUGAGGAGAGAUCCUGCCCUGCCUCCAAGAUCUGCAAACACCUAGAGGCCAGAUGAGAGUUGGAGCUUGCCCUGCUUCGUGGGCUACCACCGUCUCUGCAUCUUGGUUUGGGGUGGAGUGAGCCACCAGCACAACGCUUAUAACUUGGCCAUCAGUCAACCACCAUCAUCUUUUCACCCAGUUUCUGGGCUCUGAGCAGAAACUCAGAGGUCCUAUUUCCGGGGACCUCUUUGGCAGACCCUCCCGGAGCUAAUGUUCUAAUAUAAGGUCCCCCCAAUAGCUGCAGAAAGGUCAAUGCAACUGAAGCAUGAGUCCCCACACUGCAGCCAUGCGGUUCACAGAGGGUGAGGUCUCAGUGAGCCUUGUGUCUUGUGGACUGGGAACAUGACCACUUGACCCCAGGGUGGGGGAGGGCUAUGAAGAAGCAGGAGCAAACUCCCCAGGAGAAUGGAAUUGGAGGGUAAAGGGCAAAUACAAUUGUCACAUGUUCCCAAAGGAGCUCCAGAGGCCAGACACCAGGGACAGAGGGACACAACUGGCUGGUAUGUUGCGUUCCCUUUCAUUCGGGGCUUCCUGGCACGGGUAACUACAUUUUGCUCUCAGUGAGUGAUAUGGGCACAGCUCACCAACAGUUUUUGGAUAUGAAUUCUAGAAGUAGCUGCCUGUGCUCCAACAUCUCCCUGUGAGCCUUGUGCCCCAGAGGGAGCAGCUUUCCCCUGGUGCCCGCUGUGGUAGUGACAGUCACAGAAUUCCUGUAUCACUGUACCUUCUCAGAGUCCCUCCUACUAUUUGAAGCAUCACAACUACAUGACUCAGUAUACCCACCGGUGUUUCUGUCCAUCACUUCAGUCUUUUAAACAUGUGCCCCAUAACCUUAAACUGAGAUGUUCAGCAAUGUAGUGAAUACAUCACUUAGCAUGCUCAGCAAUGAGCUCACCCAUCCAUGAAUAUUGAGGUUCUGUGAAUAAAACCCCAAAGUUUUCUGUGUUCAAAGAA
This is a long non-coding RNA of Peromyscus leucopus (white-footed mouse), 1243 nucleotides long. RefSeq lists it as uncharacterized. The transcript is spliced from 4 exons. The record is from RefSeq and is a predicted model, not a curated record. Lineage: Eukaryota; Metazoa; Chordata; Mammalia; Rodentia; Cricetidae.